UGUCCUCUCUCUCUUUUAUGUUAGCUCUGGACCUACUCCAUUGUUUCGGAUCGGAUGUCCGUACUUAAAAUCAUUUAUCCAUGAGAAUGAAGCACGAGGUAUAAUCUGCAGUAAAAAUGUUCUGCUUGAUCCAAAAGGAGUCCGAGACACCAAUGAUUAGGCACAUCUGAGUCAUUAGCUAUAGGCUGUCCAAGGAGAAGUCAGAGAUUGGUGAUUAUUUGUAACAGAUGCAUUGCAAUAUUAUACCACUGGAUUUCCACAGGAAGAAAGCAACAAAUUGAUUCUGAUGAACUUUGGUUUUUGGUUUACAUGUAUAUGCAAAAUGGUGGAGGGCCAUACUAACCUUUGAUCUUUGAUGGGACCAUUGGACAGUGCUGCUUUCCUCCCAAUCUAGCAGGGCAUACGUGCCAGCAGAACUACACGCAUGCAGAACAUGGGAAUGAUGCGUUGCACUCCAGCAUGCCGCAUUUCCAGCACAAGUACUGCAACCCCUUCACCUGCAAUCGCUACUCGUUUGUGGUGGAACGUGGUAAAGUUAGAUGCUCUGAUCCUGUGGAGAGGAAAAUGGUUGGAUGGCAUGUCAGCUGUCUGGUCAUUGUUCCCCUUUCUCUCUUGUGCGAUGGGAUUUUGAUGGCUGGUUGGCAUUUCUUGUUGGAAUGGCUGUUUUCUCAUUGCUAUUGGUUGGGUGGUUUCUUUUUGGGAGAUAACCGAAUAAAAAAUUGAUAGAGUGAUUCUCUAGCCUUUUUUAGCAUGGGAAAAAUGAGGUGGAUUAUGAAUAAUUGUACUAAACAUUUCUUCAUACUUAAUUUCUAUCUUAAAACAGUUUCCAACCGGCACAAAGGGGCAGAUAUGGUGCUGCAUGUCAGAGAUUUUGAGCUUUUGAGCUACUUGUGACGGCCUGUGCAGAGAUUUUGAGCUACUUGUGUGGUAACAUAUGGCAAUCACUGCCAUGAGAAAACUGGAUUUGUUUAUAUAAAGAAAUAUAGAUUGAGCUGAUUUUUCAAGCCAAGGGCGUUCGAUGUCUUCUAUUAAAGGAAGCAGUGCAGUGCCAGUGAAUAGAUUUGGUUUGCUUUUUUCCCAAGAGGACAGUUAUGCAACUAAAAGCAGAGGAUGUCUCAGUAGAUGGAUAAAAUUAACAUUCAUGGCUAAGCAUGACAGGAUUCAUCGCAUCUGGUUGCAGGAAAACGAAUGAAAGUCAAGAAAACCACCUUCAGUAUCUUGAAGUAUCGAGUGUGCAAUGGACUUUUGGACUGGAUCUGUGCUACAGGAUCCAAGCCAAUUUAAGUUGUAAUUGAGGUCUUGAAAGGGAUCCAAAGCCCUAAGAUCUUUUGGCUGUUUUCAACUGGCAUGUAAGGUUUGUCGGGUGUUGAAACUGGGUCUUUGCUGAUCCAC
This is a non-coding RNA of Elaeis guineensis (African oil palm), 1392 nucleotides long. The record is from RefSeq and is a predicted model, not a curated record. Lineage: Eukaryota; Viridiplantae; Streptophyta; Magnoliopsida; Arecales; Arecaceae.